CACCGCGGUUAGACGGGAGGCUCAAGUUGACAGAUUACGGCGUAAAGCGUGGUUAUGGGUAAACACUACACUAAAGCUAAAGAGCCCCCGGGCAGUUAUACGCUUCCGGCCGCUCGAACCCCAACUACGAAAGUGGCUUUAACCCCUUCCACCUGAUCCCACGACAGCUGGGAAA
Molecule: ribosomal RNA, 175 nt
Filed under: Amblygaster leiogaster (smoothbelly sardinella)
Lineage: Eukaryota; Metazoa; Chordata; Actinopteri; Clupeiformes; Clupeidae
Description: partial 12S rRNA
Source: RNAcentral